GCAUAUCAAUAAGCGGAGGAAAAGAAACCAACUGGGAUUGCCUCAGUAACGGCGAGUGAAGCGGCAAAAGCUCAAAUUUGAAAUCUGGCUCCCUAGCAGGGGUCCGAGUUGUAAUUUGAAGAGGAUGCUUCGGGUGCGGCCGCGGCGCAAGUUCCUUGGAACAGGACGUCAUAGAGGGUGAGAAUCCCGUCUUGAGUCGCCGGCACGCGCCCAUGUGAAGCUCCUUCGACGAGUCGAGUUGUUUGGGAAUGCAGCUCUAAGCGGGUGGUAAAUUUCAUCUAAAGCUAAAUAUUGGCCGGAGACCGAUAGCGCACAAGUAGAGUGAUCGAAAGGUUAAAAGCACCUUGAAAAGGGAGUUAAAUAGCACGUGAAAUUGUUGAAAGGGAAGCGCUUGCGGCCAGACUCGGGCGCGGGGGUUCAGCGGGCAUUCGUGCCCGUGUACUCCCCCGCGAUCCGGGCCAGCAUCGGUUUGGGCGGUCGGUCAAAGGCCCUCGGAAUGUGUCGCCUCUCGGGGCGUCUUAUAGCCGGGGGUGCAAUGCGGCCUGCCUGGACCGAGGAACGCGCUUCGGCACGGAUGCUGGCGUAAUGGCCGUAAGCGGCCCGUCUUGAAACACGGACC
This 619-nucleotide ribosomal RNA is filed under the name Pseudogymnoascus pannorum. RNAcentral's name for it is "eukaryotic LSU rRNA". It matches the Rfam family "Eukaryotic large subunit ribosomal RNA", at positions 38 to 667 of the family's 3401-position model. Lineage: Eukaryota; Fungi; Ascomycota; Leotiomycetes; Thelebolales; Thelebolaceae. The record is from RNAcentral. RNAcentral also lists the same sequence under 1 other name.